This 18-nucleotide microRNA is filed under the name Rattus norvegicus (Norway rat). Its description in RNAcentral is "rno-miR-1896". Lineage: Eukaryota; Metazoa; Chordata; Mammalia; Rodentia; Muridae. The record is from miRBase by way of RNAcentral.
UGGUGGGUGAGGAGGAGG